GACGAACGCUGGCGGCGUGCUUAACACAUGCAAGUCGAACGGAAAGGCCCUUCGGGGUACUCGAGUGGCGAACGGGUGAGUAACACGUGGGUGAUCUGCCCUGCACUUUGGGAUAAGCCUGGGAAACUGGGUCUAAUACCGAAUAGGACCACGCGCCUCAUGGUGUGUGGUGGAAAGCUUUUGCGGUGUGGGAUGGGCCCGCGGCCUAUCAGCUUGUUGGUGGGGUAAUGGCCUACCAAGGCGACGACGGGUAGCCGGCCUGAGAGGGUGACCGGCCACACUGGGACUGAGAUACGGCCCAGACUCCUACGGGAGGCAGCAGUGGGGAAUAUUGCACAAUGGGCGCAAGCCUGAUGCAGCGACGCCGCGUGAGGGAUGACGGCCUUCGGGUUGUAAACCUCUUUCACCAGGGACGAAGCGUAAGUGACGGUACCUGGAGAAGAAGCACCGGCCAACUACGUG
This 462-nucleotide ribosomal RNA is filed under the name uncultured bacterium. Its description in RNAcentral is "partial 16S ribosomal RNA". It matches the Rfam family "Bacterial small subunit ribosomal RNA", at positions 28 to 507 of the family's 1533-position model. The record is from RNAcentral.